Molecule: transfer RNA, 70 nt
Filed under: Grimpoteuthis sp.
Lineage: Eukaryota; Metazoa; Mollusca; Cephalopoda; Octopoda; Grimpoteuthidae
Description: tRNA-Thr
Rfam family: tRNA
About the family: Transfer RNA (tRNA) molecules are approximately 80 nucleotides in length.
Source: RNAcentral
GUUAUAAUAGCUUAAUUUUAAAGCAUUGGUUUUGUAAACCAAAAUUAAAUAUAAAACUAUUUUUAUAACU